GACGAACGCUGGCGGCGUGCUUAACACAUGCCAGUCGAACGGACAGGCCCUGCUUGCGGGGUACUCGAGUGGCGAACGGGUGAGUAACUCGUGGGUGAUCUGCCCUCCACUUCGGGUUAAGCCUCUUCAACUGGGUCUAGUACCUGCCAGAUGACAUUUUUAGUGUGAUGGUUGGAAAGUUUUUUCGGUUUAGGCUGAGCUGGCGGGCUAUCGGCUCGUUGGUGGGGUAAUGGCCUACCGAGGCGGCGUCGGGUAGCCGGACUGCGUGGGUGGACGGCCACAUUGGGACUGAGGGACGGCACAGAUAGCUACGGGAGGCAGCAGUGGGGAAGAUUGAAGAAGGGGCGCAAGGCGGAUGCAGAAACGCCGCGUGGGGGAAGACGGCGUUAGGGUUGAAAACUACGUGCGCAAGGGACGAAGCUUUUUGUGACGGUACCUAGAGAAGAAGCACCGGCUAACUACGUG
RNAcentral lists this ribosomal RNA (465 nucleotides) under uncultured bacterium. RNAcentral describes it as "partial 16S ribosomal RNA". It matches the Rfam family "Bacterial small subunit ribosomal RNA", at positions 28 to 507 of the family's 1533-position model. The record is from RNAcentral.